CCGCCGCCGCGCAUCGCCCCUGAGGGGAGCGGGGCUGUCGCCGUCGCCAUCGGGCAGCGCUGCGCUUCCCGCCGCCCCGCAGACCCUCGCUCUCCCCCGCUGAGGCGGGUCAAGGUGCUUCGGGGGACCGGUGUCCCCCCCGCGGCGUCCCGGUGCGCGGCAGGAGCCGCCGCGUCGAGCCGGGCCUGCCCGCUGCAGGCGGGAGCCGGAGGCUGAGGACAUGAGUCUCUACAACUUGGACCGGUUUCGCUUCGAGAGGAAGAGGAAAAAAGCGGAGCAGGAGAGCGAGGCCCCCGCGGCCCAGGGUUCUGCUGCGGCGGGGGAUGCGGCUGGAGGGGAUGAGGAUGAAGCCACAGAUGACAGCAACAGGCCGGAGACACCGGCCUUAGAUGUGACACAGAGAACCGAGUACUCCGCUGUCCCAGAAACUCCUGAAGCCAAGAGGACAAGGAAACAAUCUUAUUUCAAGCCCCGCAGAGGGGUAAAGUUCCUCGAUGGAUCUUCAGACAGCGACAACGAAGAACCGAGAAACUUCUGUGCUGCGAAAGAGAACAGGGCUCCGAGGAGGAACGUGGCUGUAAUCUCUGAACAAUCUGACGAUGAUCAGGAUGAAGACGAACGCCCCCAGUUGGCCUUUGUGAACGGGGGGGAUCAGCCCCCGGCUGUGAAGAAGGGCGCAGAGGAGAACACCAGAGACGCAAAGAUCCAAACGCUGAAGGAGCUUUUUUCACGGAGAAGUGACCAAGAAUUACUACAAUCAACUGAACCAACACGCGCAAGGGAUGAAGCCGUAGCUGCUGGUUUGAAGUUCAGUGAUGAAGCUGCGUCUCGUAAAAGGAAGCUGAAAGGUUCUCCCACAAAGUGCAAAAACGGAAAUGAGCAAGUCGCAAAAAAGCCAAAAUCUAAUUACCUGGAUGAGUCAGAACCCCAAAGACAAUGGGAGAGGCAAGAGAUGCUCGUGAAGAAGCUGCAGAAUACCUUCCCUGAACUGGAUAAGGAGGAGCUGAGAGAUGUACUUCAGGAACAUAACUGGGUGUUUCACGAAGCACUGGAGGCCCUGAGAGUGUUUGCAGAAGACGAUGAGGGCAUGGAGUUUCCUCCCAAAAGCGAAGCUUCCGACUGGACCGAAGCCUCCGCCAACAGCACAAGCGACGAGGGCAAAGAGAAGCCAAAGCAGAACGAGCAGAACGGCUUUCAGAAAAAGGACGAGAGCAAAAAGAGCAUUUGGAGCGCCAAAAGAGAAGCAGAAGGCUCGGAGGAUGAGUCGGCCUCGGACGAUGGUGGCAGCUCCCUCGACGAGGACUACAGCAGCGGCAACGAGGUGAUGGACGACGGCUACCGAGCCAAAAUCCUCAGCUUCCUGCAGGAUGCUUCCCUGAGCGAACUGGCUUUGAUCCCCCAGUGUUCUCAGAAAAAGGCUCAGAAGAUAAUCGCGCUCCGGCCCUUUAACAGCUGGGAGGCUCUGUUUACAAAAAUGACAAAGACUACCGGCUUGUCAGAAGACAUCGUGUGGAACUGCAAGAUCCUGCUCAAGGAGAGGGACGUGGUUCUGAAGCUUAUGAAUAAAUGCGAAGAAAUUUCCAAUAAACUGACGAAACAAGUAACCAGAAUAACUGAGGAUGGAGGAUGUGGAUGGAACAUAGAGCAACCCUCCACUCUGAACCAGAGUUUGGAGCUGAAGCCGUAUCAGAAGAUUGGUUUGAACUGGUUGGCGCUGCUGCAUAAACACGGGUUGAAUGGCAUAUUGGCUGAUGAAAUGGGCUUAGGAAAAACAAUUCAAGCUAUUGCGUUCCUAGCUUAUCUCUACCAAGAGGGCCAUAAGGGUCCCCAUUUGAUAGUUGUGCCGGUUUCAACAUUAGAUAACUGGAUAAGAGAAAUUCACCUGUGGUGUCCUGAGCUCAACAUCCUUAUUUACUAUGGAUCCCAAGAAGAUCGGAAACAUCUCAGGGUGGACAUUCACAACAAAGCCGUGGAUUUCAAUGUGAUUGUAACUACAUACAACUGUGCCAUCAGCAGCUCAGACGACCGGGGGCUGUUUCGCAGGCUGAAGCUGAACUACGCAAUUUUCGACGAAGGCCACAUGCUGAAGAACAUGAGCUCUGUGCGCUACCAGCACCUCAUGACAAUCAAUGCAAAGAACCGCUUGCUGCUGACGGGGACUCCGGUGCAAAAUAACCUGUUGGAGUUGAUGUCCCUUCUGAAUUUCGUCAUGCCGCACAUGUUCAGCAGCAGCACGAGCGAAAUCCGAAGGAUGUUCUCUUCAAAAGCAAAGAGUGCGGAAGAACAAAGCAUAUAUGAAAAGGAGAGGAUCGCACAUGCAAAGCAGAUAAUAAAACCAUUCAUCUUGAGAAGAGUAAAAGAUGAGGUCCUGAAACAACUACCUCCCAAAAAAGACCUCAUCGAAUUAUGUGCCAUGUCUGAGAAGCAGGAGCAGCUCUACUGUGAUCUCUUAAACAAGCUCAAGAAGACUUUCAACAGCAACGAGAAAAACUCUGAUAUGGGAAAUGUGAUGAUGCAACUUAGAAAAAUGGCAAAUCACCCUCUGCUGCAUCGGCAGCAUUACACGAGCGACAAGCUCCGGACAAUGGCCACGCUGAUGCUCAAGGAACCCACCCAUUGUGACGCCAACCCCGACCUUAUCUUGGAAGACAUGACAGUCAUGACGGAUUUUGAGCUGCACCUGCUUUGCAAGCAAUAUCCUCACAUCAGCGACUACAAGUUGGGCAUGGAUCAGAUCUUGGAUUCGGGGAAGUUCAGGGCGCUGGAGCGCAUCCUGUCCGACUUCAAAGAGAAGGGGGACAGAGUUGUGUUGUUCAGCCAGUUUACCAUGAUGCUGGAUAUCUUGGAAGUUUUCCUCAAACAUUGGCAGCAUAGAUACAUUAGAUUGGAUGGAAAAACACAGAUUUCUGAUCGGAUACGUCUCAUAGACCAGUUCAACACAGAUAUGGGUAUAUUUGUAUUCCUCCUGUCAACCAAAGCCGGGGGCUUGGGAAUCAAUCUGACCUCAGCAAACGUCGUCAUUCUUCACGACAUCGACUGCAACCCGUACAACGAUAAGCAAGCAGAAGACCGAUGCCACAGAGUAGGUCAGACAAGGCCUUGCGCUGGCUGGAGAACAUGGAGAAAACAAGUUUUGUGGCAGCACAGCAAAGCGAGAAGGAAGCGGUGUCGCCCUUUUGCCAAGGCAGAGCGUCCUGCCCGUGUGUGCUGAGCCAGAGGAACUGCAAAAACACGGAUUUAUCCUGUUUGGGGUUUAUUUUUCAGAGAAGUAAAAGUGAUAAAGCUGAUCAGUAAGGGGACUAUUGAGGAAUCCAUGCUCAAAAUCAGCCAGCAGAAGCUGAAGUUGGAACAAGACAUGACUGCGGCAGAUUCAGGAGAAGAAGGAACCAUCCCAGCAGAUAUCGCCACACUCCUCAAAGCUUCCUUAGGUCUCUGAAAUGUAACUGCGUUGUGGAAUUGGAGGAAGAAAGGUGACGUUGUACCCCGAGGACUCUUCUCUUACUUGCCACCAUGAGCUUUAUGGACAGUUAUAACUUUUUGUAGUUCCUUUGAUUGUAUUCCUCAUGGCAUUGGAUAUUUUUAACACCGGCAGCAUUCUUUUGAUGCUAAAACACGAACAGCCCGGAUGUGCCAACAUGGGGUGCUGAAAAAAUGCUAUUUUACAGAUCACUUUUCCAAAUGGGGACCUAAGUACUAUUUGUUUUAACAAAUCUGCUACUGCUGGAGAUUUGUCAGUAUUUUUGUAAUUAUUUCUACCUCCAAAUAUAGAUAUAUAUAUAAACCGUCUGUUUCACUGGAUUACUUGUGUAGAUUUUUUUAUAUGUGCCUUAUUUGACAAUGCUUGAGUCCGGUUCGGCUUGUUUUCGGUUCAUUUGAUGUACCGUACCCGUUUUGUAUCAACUUGUUUGAAUAAAAUUCCACAGGUUAACCAAA
This is an RNA transcript of Columba livia (rock pigeon), 3933 nucleotides long. It is a transcript of the gene named SWI/SNF-related, matrix-associated actin-dependent regulator of chromatin, subfamily a, containing DEAD/H box 1, with no coding region annotated. NCBI's taxonomy places the organism in Eukaryota, Metazoa, Chordata, Aves, Columbiformes, Columbidae. The record is from RefSeq and is a predicted model, not a curated record. The transcript has 24 exons.